AGAGUUUGAUCAUGGCUCAGAUUGAACGCUGGCGGAAUGCUUUACACAUGCAAGUCGAGCGGCAGCGCGGGGCAACCUGGCGGCGAGCGGCGAACGGGUGAGUAAUACAUCGGAACGUGCCCAGACGUGGGGGACGACCACUCGAAAGAGUGGCUAAUACCGCAUACGAUCUACGGAUGAAAGCGGGGGAUCGCAAGACCUCGCGCGUCUGGAGCGGCUGAUGGCAGAUUAGGUAGUUGGUGGGGUAAAGGCUCACCAAGCCUGCGAUCUGUAGCUGGUCUGAGAGGAUGAUCAGCCACACUGGGACUGAGACACGGCCCAGACUCCUACGGGAGGCAGCAGUGGGGAAUUUUGGACAAUGGGCGAAAGCCUGAUCCAGCCAUUCCGCGUGCAGGAUGAAGGCCCUCGGGUUGUAAACUGCUUUUGUACGGGACGAAAAAGCUCCGGCUAAUACCUGGAGUCCAUGACGGUACCGUAAGAAUAAGCACCGGCUAACUACGUGCCAGCAGCCGCGGUAAUACGUAGGGUGCGAGCGUUAAUCGGAAUUACUGGGCGUAAAGCGUGCGCAGGCGGUUUUGUAAGACAGAGGUGAAAUCCCCGGGCUCAACCUGGGAACUGCCUUUGUGACUGCAAGGCUGGAGUGCGGCAGAGGGGGAUGGAAUUCCACGUGUAGCAGUGAAAUGCGUAGAUAUGUGGAGGAACACCAAUGGCGAAGGCAGCCCCCUGGGAUAACACUGACGCUCAUGUACGAAAGCGUGGGUAGCAAACAGGAUUAGAUACCCUGGUAGUCCACGCCCUAAACGAUGUCAACUGGUUGUUGGGGGAGUGAAAUCCCUUAGUAACGAAGCUAACGCGUGAAGUUGACCGCCUGGGGAGUACGGUCGCAAGAUUAAAACUCAAAGGAAUUGACGGGGACCCGCACAAGCGGUGGAUGAUGUGGAUUAAUUCGAUGCAACGCGAAAAACCUUACCUACCCUUGACAUGUCCGGAAUCCUGCAGAGAUGCGGGAGUGCCCGAAAGGGAAUCGGAACACAGGUGCUGCAUGGCUGUCGUCAGCUCGUGUCGUGAGAUGUUGGGUUAAGUCCCGCAACGAGCGCAACCCUUAUCAUUAGUUGCUACGCAAGGGCACUCUAAUGAGACUGCCGGUGACAAACCGGAGGAAGGUGGGGAUGACGUCAAGUCCUCAUGGCCCUUAUGGGUAGGGCUUCACACGUCAUACAAUGGUCGGUACAGAGGGUUGCCAAGCCGCGAGGUGGAGCCAAUCCCAGAAAGCCGAUCGUAGUCCGGAUUGUUCUCUGCAACUCGAGAGCAUGAAGUCGGAAUCGCUAGUAAUCGCGGAUCAGCAUGUCGCGGUGAAUACGUUCCCGGGUCUUGUACACACCGCCCGUCACACCAUGGGAGUGGAAUCUGCCAGAAGUAGGUAGCCUAACCGUAAGGAGGGCGCUUACCACGGUGGGAUUCAUGACUGGGGUGAAGUCGUAACAAGGU
This 1488-nucleotide ribosomal RNA is filed under the name uncultured bacterium. RNAcentral describes it as "16S ribosomal RNA". It matches the Rfam family "Bacterial small subunit ribosomal RNA". The record is from RNAcentral.